UACGUAGGGGGCAAGCGUUGUCCGGAAUCAUUGGGCGUAAAGAGCGCGUAGGCGGUCCGGUAAGUCGGUUGUGAAAGUCGGGGGCUCAACCCUCGGAGGCCGACCGAUACUGUCGGGCUAGAGUCCGGAAGAGGCGAGUGGAAUUCCUGGUGUAGCGGUGAAAUGCGCAGAUAUCGGGAAGAACACCCGUGGCGAAGGCGGCUCUCUGGUACGGUACUGACGCUGAGACGCGAAAGCGUGGGGAGCGAACAGG
This 253-nucleotide ribosomal RNA is filed under the name uncultured bacterium. RNAcentral's name for it is "partial 16S ribosomal RNA". It matches the Rfam family "Bacterial small subunit ribosomal RNA", at positions 524 to 776 of the family's 1533-position model. The record is from RNAcentral.